Parambassis ranga (Indian glassy fish) is the source of this 900-nucleotide long non-coding RNA. The record is from Ensembl. Lineage: Eukaryota; Metazoa; Chordata; Actinopteri; Ambassidae.
AAUGUUUGACUGUAGUAGUAAGAAGUCCAGAAAAAGGUCUGAUGAGGGUUUCAUCAGGCCGCCAUAACUGUCUGGUUUAAAGCAAGUUGUCUGUGGGGAAGGAAAAGGCAGGUUCUGGGUUCCUUAUUUAAACUUCCUUCCCUCUCAGAAAAGACUGCAAAGCAUUAAGACAAGAAUAACCAGAUUCCAGAACAGCACUUAGCUCCAAGCUGCUCAGCUCUGAGAAGCAAAUAUUUUAAGCACUGUCCAGUAUUUUAGUGUUUUAUUUCAGUGUUUAUUGUCUCAUAUGUUGUCUUUUUUGCAUGGCUUUUAUUUAUUUGUCUUAAAUCUAUCCGUUGUUCAGUGAGUUAAGUGUGUCUGUUGUUUUCUUCCUGUCAGUGCGUGGACCUCACUGAAACAAAUCCAGUCGACAUGGAAAGUAUAAAUGGUGAAUCUAUCUGCCAGCCACUGAGCUCUGUGCUUGUGUCUGAACAGCAGUGAUGUGAUUUUGACUCUUCAGCAUUCAAGGUAGAAGCGUUUGGUCACCAUGCACCUGUCUUUGGUUGGCAUCUGUCUUCUGUUGCCAGAGGAGAAAUCUUUAAAGCGUUGCCCGACCUGUGUGGAUUAAACAAACACAAACGGUGUUGAACACUUCAACGAUGUACUGGAUGAGGAAGGAGCCAAGAUUUUCCUGUCUGUAUGACACAGUAUCUGCAGGACAAACAUUCAGACACAGAGAGCACACUUGAGCAAACGGGGCCGGACCUGGCGGCGGCACGUCAUCACUGACCACAACACUGUCACUAACGAGCACCGCUCCACCUGCCUCUGCAACAUGUAUGAUGACAUUUACAUUUUAAAGUCAACCAAACUGUGACUAUGAAGACAUUUGCUGUUGUUUUCAGGAAUUAAAAUGAGAAU